UACGAAGGGGGCUAGCGUUGUUCGGAGUUACUGGGCGUAAAGAGUGCGUAGGCGGUUUUCUAAGUUUGGUGUGAAAUCUCCCGGCUUAACUGGGAGGGUGCGCCGAAAACUGGAAGGCUUGAGUAUGGGAGAGGUAAGCGGAAUUCCUGGUGUAGCGGUGAAAUGCGUAGAUAUCAGGAGGAACACCUGCGGUGUAGACGGCUUACUGGACCAUAACUGACGCUGAGGCACGAAAGCGUGGGUAGCAAACAGG
This 253-nucleotide ribosomal RNA is filed under the name uncultured bacterium. RNAcentral's name for it is "partial 16S ribosomal RNA". It matches the Rfam family "Bacterial small subunit ribosomal RNA", at positions 524 to 776 of the family's 1533-position model. The record is from RNAcentral.